RNAcentral lists this long non-coding RNA (293 nucleotides) under Capsicum annuum. Its description in RNAcentral is "long non-coding RNA (CANN_LNC004226)". Lineage: Eukaryota; Viridiplantae; Streptophyta; Magnoliopsida; Solanales; Solanaceae. The record is from RNAcentral.
ACUCUACAUUGGCGGUGGUGGAGGCUGCCAUGGCUGAGGCUGUACGUAUGAUGAGGAAUGAAUCACAUGGUCAGUUUUCCUUUCCGUCCGCCGCUGUAUUCACUUCCGCUUCAUUCGUAUUGGUUGCAUGGUGGUGGUUGAGCCCGCAUUGGUGGUGGUGGGGAUGCCAUGAUAAGGGAUGAACCACGUGCUCAGUUGUCCUUCCUGUUCCGCUACAGAUGCCGCCACCACAUUCAUCUUCGCUGCAUUCACUUCAAUUGCUGAGAGUUUUCUAUGGUGAUUUUGUAGGAGAG